RNAcentral lists this small RNA (90 nucleotides) under Pedobacter sp. SG908. RNAcentral's name for it is "Flavo-1 RNA". It matches the Rfam family "Flavo-1 RNA". Lineage: Bacteria; Pseudomonadati; Bacteroidota; Sphingobacteriia; Sphingobacteriales; Sphingobacteriaceae. The record is from RNAcentral. RNAcentral also lists the same sequence under 1 other name.
GAAUAAACGGGAUGGAAGCGGUAUCCUUUUGCUACCAGCCAGAGCGGAGCAAAAGGGCAGCAAAAGAUUUAGCGGACAGCCCGGCCAGAG